ACCCUACGGGAGGCAGCAGUGAGGAAUAUUGGUCAAUGGGCGCGAGCCUGAACCAGCCAAGUCGCGUGAGGGAUGACGGUCCUACGAAUUGUAAACCUCUUUUGCCGGGAGCAAGCGUGCGUUCGUGAACGCGCGUCGAGAGUACCCGGAGAAAAAGCAUCGGCUAACUCCGUGCCAGCAGCCGCGGUAAUACGGAGGAUGCGAGCGUUAUCCGGAUUUAUUGGGUUUAAAGGGUGCGCAGGCGGGAGAUCAAGUCAGCGGUAAAAUGUCGGGGCUCAACCCCGGCCGGCCGUUGAAACUGGUUU
Molecule: ribosomal RNA, 305 nt
Filed under: uncultured bacterium
Lineage: Bacteria
Description: bacterial SSU rRNA
Rfam family: Bacterial small subunit ribosomal RNA
Source: RNAcentral